GACCAAGGAGUAUAACACGCCCGCGAGUCGUAGGGACUUUGAAGCCCGAAGGCGCAAUGAAAGUGAAGGCCAGAUCCGUCUGGCCGAGGUGGGAUCCCGUCGCUCGGCGGCGGGCGCACCACUGUCCCCGUCUCGAUCGACUCUGUCGACGAGGCGGAGGAGGAGACGUGUGCGUUAGGAUAYGCCUGAGCAGGACGAAGCCAGAGGAAACUCUGGUGGAAGUCCGCAGCGAUUCUGACGUGCAAAUCGAUCGUCAAACUUGGGUAUAGGGGCGAAAUACUAAUC
RNAcentral lists this ribosomal RNA (285 nucleotides) under Antedon mediterranea. RNAcentral's name for it is "partial 28S large subunit ribosomal RNA". It matches the Rfam family "Eukaryotic large subunit ribosomal RNA", at positions 664 to 936 of the family's 3401-position model. The record is from RNAcentral. Lineage: Eukaryota; Metazoa; Echinodermata; Crinoidea; Comatulida; Antedonidae.